ACGAACGCUGGGCGUGCUUAACACAUGCAAGUCGAACGAAGAGCGAUGGAAGCUUGCUUCUAUCAAUCUUAGUGGCGAACGGGUGAGUAACGCGUAAUCAACCUGCCCUUCAGAGGGGGACAACAGUUGGAAACGACUGCUAAUACCGCAUACGAUCUAAUCUCGGCAUCGAGGAUAGAUGAAAGGUGGCCUCUACAUGUAAGCUAUCACUGAAGGAGGGGAUUGCGUCUGAUUAGCUAGUUGGAGGGGUAACGGCCCACCAAGGCGAUGAUCAGUAGCCGGUCUGAGAGGAUGAACGGCCACAUUGGGACUGAGACACGGCCCAGACUCCUACGGGAGGCAGCAGUGGGGAAUCUUCCGCAAUGGACGAAAGUCUGACGGAGCAACGCCGCGUGAGUGAUGACGGCCUUCGGGUUGUAAAGCUCUGUUAAUCGGGACGAAAGGCCUUCUUGCGAAUAGUGAGAAGGAUUGACGGUACCGGAAUAGAAAGCCACGGCUAACUACGUG
RNAcentral lists this ribosomal RNA (507 nucleotides) under uncultured bacterium. Its description in RNAcentral is "partial 16S ribosomal RNA". It matches the Rfam family "Bacterial small subunit ribosomal RNA", at positions 29 to 507 of the family's 1533-position model. The record is from RNAcentral.